This 725-nucleotide small RNA is filed under the name Pan troglodytes (chimpanzee). Its description in RNAcentral is "processed transcript". Lineage: Eukaryota; Metazoa; Chordata; Mammalia; Primates; Hominidae. The record is from RNAcentral.
AGACUUGAAGGAAAUGUGCCUUAGUGCUUUGGCCAACCUGACAUGGCAGUCCCGAACACAGGAUGAACAUCCGAAGACAAUGUUCUCCAAAGAUAAGGAUAUUAUACCAUUUAUUGAUAAAUACUGGGAGUGCAUGACAACCAGACAGAGACCUGGGAAAAUGACUUGGCCAAAUAACAUUGUUAAAACAAUGAGUAAAGAAAGAGAUGUAUUCUUGGUAAAGGAACACCCAGAUCCAGGGAGUAAAGACCCAGAAGAAGAUUACCCCAAAUUUGGACUUUUGGAUCAGGACCUUAGUAACAUUGGUCCUGCUUAUGACAACCAAAAACAGAGCAGUGCUGUGUCUACUAGUGGGAAUUUAAAUGGUGGAGCCACUUUUGGAGGUGAAUUCCUCCACUGUCUUCUUUCAGCCUCUCAGACUUAAGUAUUUGUGGUUUGGAAAAUGCUUUUUGCUGAGCUAUGGUAGAAGCUAAAAACUACAUAAUUUGAAGCAUUAUGAAAAUGGCGGCAAUAGCACUUAAUAUGAAACAGUAGUUGAGUUUAAUGUUAGUAUUUAAGAGCUUGUAUGUUGUCAUAUUCUGCCUAACAUGGCCAGCCAUCCCACUUCUGUACUGUUUGCUCUGUUCUGGUUGGAUCUGAAACUUCUUAAAAUAAUCAAAAUGCAAAUGACAAUUAAAAAUGUAAUUGUGGCCACGCGAGGUGGCUCACGCAUGUAAUCCCAGCAC